Molecule: ribosomal RNA, 394 nt
Filed under: uncultured bacterium
Lineage: Bacteria
Description: bacterial SSU rRNA
Rfam family: Bacterial small subunit ribosomal RNA
Source: RNAcentral
AACGAACGCUAGCGGUGUGGAUUAGGCAUGCAAGUCGCGCGCGAAAGCCUUCGGGCGAGUAAAGCGGCGAAAGGGUGAGUAACACGUAACCAACGUACCCUCAGACUGGGAUAACCACUGGAAACGGUGGAUAAUACCGGAUGGUCCACUGGGCAGCAUUGCCUGGCUGGCAAACGGCGGCCGCAAGGCGGUUGCUGAGGGAGCGGGUUGCGGCCUAUCAGCUUGUUGGUGAGGUAACGGCUCACCAAGGCUAUGACGGGUAACAGGUCUGAGAGGAUGAUCUGUCACACUGGGACUGAGACACUGCCCAGACUCCUACGGGAGGCUGCAGUCGAGAAUCUUCCACAAUGGGCGAAAGCCUGAUGGAGCGACACCGCGUGCAGGACGAAGGCCU